GACGAACGCUGGCGGCGUGCUUAACACAUGCAAGUCGAGCGGUAAGGCCCUUUCGGGGGUACACGAGCGGCGAACGGGUGAGUAACACGUGAGUGACCUGCCCUCAGCUCUGGGAUAAGCCUGGGAAACCGGGUCUAAUACUGGAUAUGACUCCAUGACGCAUGUUGUGGGGUGGAAAGCCUUGUGCGGCUGAGGAUGGGCCCGCGGCCUAUCAGCUUGUUGGUGGGGUGAUGGCCUACC
RNAcentral lists this ribosomal RNA (240 nucleotides) under uncultured bacterium. RNAcentral's name for it is "partial 16S ribosomal RNA". It matches the Rfam family "Bacterial small subunit ribosomal RNA", at positions 28 to 269 of the family's 1533-position model. The record is from RNAcentral.